GCAGCGGCGGCGACCGGCGGCGGGGAAAGGCGACGGCGGCGGGGCAAAUCAAGACGGCGCCGACGAGAUCCUCCUCCGGCGACUGGUCCCCGAUACCUGCCCCUUGGCCUAUUGUUGGAUUGGAUCAACCACCUCCAUCUUGGGAACUUGUGAGAACUCCUGAUUUUGUGCUGCAAUGAAUACACAAAGGCUAGAGCUUAUUAGGAAGAGGAGAGAGGAAGACGAUGAGGAGUUCAUGUUCUUACUUUUACCAAUAUUGCACUAUCACAAAAGGAGUAGAAGAGGGAAAGUAGAGAGAACGCAGCGGCAUAGCUCCGUCUUGUAUGGCAUGCAACGUGUUCAAGGAAUCCUUGACGGACAUGUUAAGAAUUGCCGGGUAGCCUAUAGGAUGGAGCCACACAUUUUUAGAUCCUUAGCAUC
Lolium rigidum is the source of this 420-nucleotide long non-coding RNA. RefSeq lists it as uncharacterized. The record is from RefSeq and is a predicted model, not a curated record. Lineage: Eukaryota; Viridiplantae; Streptophyta; Magnoliopsida; Poales; Poaceae. The transcript is spliced from 3 exons.